Long non-coding RNA from Catharus ustulatus (Swainson's thrush), 200 nucleotides. RefSeq lists it as uncharacterized. Lineage: Eukaryota; Metazoa; Chordata; Aves; Passeriformes; Turdidae. The transcript has 3 exons. The record is from RefSeq and is a predicted model, not a curated record.
GCCAACCAGGGGACAGGUGGCCCCAGCAGCGAGUGACAGCCAGUGCCCAUGGCCAGGGACAGCGGGAUGGCCGGGAAGGUGGCGCUGCUCCUGUGGGCCCAGACCCUCGGCCUCGCUGGUGCCCAGACCCCCCAGCUCCUGGUGGAGCCCCCCUGGACGCCAGCGGUGCUGUGGGACUGGGUGACACUGACCUGCCAGGG